GUAUUACUUUGGCAAUACAUAUACUACAACUGGUAUGCAAGAAAAGAUCAGCAUGGCCCCUGUGCAAGGAUGACAAGCAAAUUUGUGAAGCAUUCUAUAUUUAU
Octopus sinensis (East Asian common octopus) is the source of this 104-nucleotide small nuclear RNA. The record is from RefSeq and is a predicted model, not a curated record. Lineage: Eukaryota; Metazoa; Mollusca; Cephalopoda; Octopoda; Octopodidae.